UACGUAGGGACCAAGCGUUGUUCGGAUUUACUGGGCGUAAAGGGCGCGUAGGCGGCGUGUUAAGUCAGCUGUGAAAUCUCCAAGCUUAACUUGGAACGGUCAGCUGAUACUGAUGUGCUAGAGUGCAGAAGGGGCAACCGGAAUUCUUGGUGUAGCGGUGAAAUGCGUAGAUAUCAAGAGGAAUACCUGAGGUGAAGACGGGUUGCUGGGCUGACACUGACGCUGAGGCGCGAAAGCUAGGGUAGCAAACGGG
This 253-nucleotide ribosomal RNA is filed under the name uncultured bacterium. RNAcentral's name for it is "partial 16S ribosomal RNA". It matches the Rfam family "Bacterial small subunit ribosomal RNA", at positions 524 to 776 of the family's 1533-position model. The record is from RNAcentral.